GUCUGCUUUUUGUUCCUCCAGAAUUUGAGUCCUGUUAAUGUAGUGGCAAAGAAGAAAUUUUCCUUUUCUUUUGUGCUAGUCUUGCAAGUUUGUCUACCAGUAAAAGAGCAAAGUUUCCUUCCUUUCUUGUUUUCUUUCUUUUUAUUUGUUCUUUUGUCCCCUCUCCCCCCACCCCACCUUUUUAUUUUUCCUUUAAAAAUUCACCUGGCAAAAAAUAAUAAUAAUAAAUAAAUAAAUGAAGCUAUCACUUUAUAAGAAUCAUUUUCUAGUAAUGCAAACAAAUUAUUUUUUAACAAAAAAUAAAAUAAAAUAAAUAAAAUUAGACUUCCUUCCCUCCAUAUAUAUCUAUCUAUCUAUAUUUAUCCAGCCCGAGUAUUUCCAAUGUCAUUUUUGCAAAUUAGAGCAGGACAAAUUUUACAUUUCCAGGGCACAUCUGUUGUAAUGCGAAGCAUUAUUUGGCAAGCAGUUCAUCACCAAGGCAGUAGCUAUGAUUCUAGAAGCUAAGAGGUGUCUAUAGAGCUAGAGGGGGCUUCUGCAUGUGAAAUGCUGUAAUUCGUAGGCGUUAAAAGUGCUGAAUGGGCAGUCUGACCCCCACGUGGGCACCUGCACUACCAAUUGUUAGAGGAAAUUCACUCCCUCCUAGUGAGAGUUGAAAGGUCAAAUUAUUUUGAGGUAAUUCUUUUUUUUUAAAGUUUUCUGUUAACAGGAAAAUUUAUUUAUUUGACAGGAUUUUAAGUAAUGUAGAGAUACAAAUGGUAAAUUAGCAGCACAUAUAAUUUUUUUUAAAUUUAUGAUCCAUUUUGUAUGGUCUCAAGUUGGAUGACCUCAUUACUAAUAUUUGUUGUAAAAGUGAAACUUGUUUGCCGACCAAUAAACAACUGAUUGAGAUUUAGAA
This 895-nucleotide long non-coding RNA is filed under the name Rattus norvegicus (Norway rat). RNAcentral's name for it is "long non-coding RNA NONRATT009820". Lineage: Eukaryota; Metazoa; Chordata; Mammalia; Rodentia; Muridae. The record is from RNAcentral.